GUCCUUCUGAGCUCACUUCCGCCGGCUUGAGUCGGAUCGCUGUUCUUUUACUGUCUCUCACUGCUUUUGUUCUCCCAUUUCUAACCAGCCACCGCUGCUGAAAAGAGGGAACCAGCAGGUUGGGAAACCACAAAGACGCAAAGUAGCGGACCAGUCCGUCGCAGAAACGCCUGGUAGCCACAUGCAAAGCGCCGUCUGCACAGAGGAUACGCGGCACUCCGUAGUUACAUAACUGGACUACUUUUUUUCUAUUAUUGUUGGGUUUUUUUUUCACGCUUUUUUGUUGCACCGAAACUGACUCCCUCUCUCUUAACUCAAAAUGGAGAACGACGACAAAUAUCUCCCCGAGCUGCUGGCGGAGAAGGACAGCCUGGACUCGUCGUUCACGCACGCCAUGAAACUUUUAAACACAGAAAUUGAUAGAAUCCAGAAAGGCGAGACUAAAAAGGAGGCAGAAGCAUACCUGGACCUUUUCACAACAAAGAACAUCAAACUUAAGGAACGAGUGCUCAUACCUGUCAAACAGUACCCUAAGUUCAAUUUCGUGGGGAAGAUUUUGGGACCUCAGGGCAAUACAAUCAAACGUCUGCAGGAAGAGACCGGAGCCAAGAUCUCUGUGCUGGGCAAAGGAUCCAUGAGAGACAAAUCCAAGGAGGAGGGGCUGAGGAAAGGCGGCGAGCCCAAGUACGCCCACUUGUCUAUGGAGCUGCACGUAUUCAUCGAGGUGUUUGCGCCCGUGCCAGAGGCUUACCUGCGCAUGGCCCACGCCAUGGAGGAGGUCAAGAAGUUCCUGUUUCCUGAUAUGAUGGAUGAUAUCUGCCAAGAGCAGUUCAUGGAGAUGAGCUACCUGAACGGAGGCCAGGAGCACGGAGCCCGAGUCCGAGGGGGCAUGCCGGUCAGGGGCCGCGGAGUCCCUCCUGCUGGAGCACACAGGGGUAGGGGAAUGCCUCCUCGUGGUGCUCCCGCCAGGGGAGGUGUCACUCGAGGUGGCCCAGCAAGAGGUGGCGCAGUGAGGGGUGCCCCAACAGGCCGAGGAGGACCUCCUGCAGCACCCGCCAGGGGAGCCGUGGCACCCCGUGCCAGGCCCCCAGCUGGUGGACCCCCCCAGAGGAUGGCGCCGCCCCCCCACCAGCACACCCCUGCUGCAGCUGCUGAGAGCUACGAGGAAUAUGGCUACGAUGAGAGCUACACAGACACGGCCUACGACUCAUACGACAGCUAUUACAGUCAGCCGCAGGCAGAACCAGAAUACUAUGACUACGGACACGGAGAGACUGCAGAGUCGUACGAGUCCUAUGGCCAGGAUGACUGGAACGGGACCCAGCGAACGGUUCCAGGGAAGGCCCUUCCACCCUCCAGAGGUGCCAAGACGCCUUACCGGGAGCACCCAUACCGACAGUACUGAAGUGGACUCACCACCUUUAACGUGUCGCCCUGACUACCGCCUGUCUACCACGGCAUCUCUCGCUUUAAGAAGCCCGACAAAAGCACAGCUAUCGGUCACUGAGUGCCCCGGAGACUGACAGUCUGCUGAAGUGCGAGCAUUCAAACCUCAGUGAAGCCGUGCACAGGAGCAGCUCAGCGUGAAGGAGGUGGUCAGACCAAGCUCUCGGGGGAGGGGAGGGGUGGGUGCGGGUGCGCCCUGUUGAAAGGAGUGGCCCAGUUCUGUUCCUGGCAGGGAGUUGGGGGGUGGGUGUUGUGGUGGCUGGCUGCCAAGUGACCCACAGGAGCCAGCUGAUGUAGCGCAAGGGGGGGGGCAGGAGAGAGGGAGAGAGAGAGAGAGAGAGACGAGCUGGAACAGGACUAAGGCUGCAGCUGGUCAGCGAAGACGUUCAGCUCACUAGGAAUCCUAAAGAGACUGACAAUCAGCUUUCAUUUUAUGUGGACUGUUUUCUACUUUUUCUGCAUUUUAUGUCAGUAUUGAAUUUCUGUGCAUUAUCCUCGUGUAAUUAAUUUCUAACAUUGAAUACGCCCACUUGCAUCCUUUACUGAUUGCAUGCUGCUCUACACAGCUUCCACGGACCACCCUCUUUUCCAACAAAUGUAAUUGUUACAGACUAAUUUACCAUAAAAUGAGCACUCCUGUUAUAGUAGGCUGUGAAAUUGUUUUAAAUUUCUAUUAACCCUUGAAUUAGACAAGAAAAGAACUACUACUUUCUGCAAAGCAAGCUGUAUUCAUCCAAUCAAGGGGGAAUUGUGUGACAUCUGCGUAUUAAGCGCUCUGGCUGUGUGUUGUUUAGUACCCGUGCCUUAUAGCCGCUUGAAAUUAGACUCAGUGCUUGAGAGUUAAAGACGCCCGGAAGAGGGUGGAUCGCUAUCUCGCUGUGGCCGAGUUCACCGCGAGCUCACACACACACACACACACACACGCGCGACGCCACCGCCGCCGCCGCCGCCGCCGCCACAUCUUGGCAUUGCACGGCCCUGUGUAGCCCCGAGGAUAUCAAAUGCUAAUGCAGCGGGCCUAUUUGCAUGUACUCUCAUGUACCCUCCCUGCAAAUGUGCAAAACACUUUCAUAACCAACGCUGGCCUGUUCUCUGCGGUUCAGCAUCCAAGUAUGAUAAUUUGGCGCGAUGGACCCAGGAGGGAGAGCUGCAUGUGAGAAAGGGACAGAGGGUGAAGACAGACAUUACUAACUUGCCUCCAUCUAUCCAUCAUGCUUCUGUUGAUUUGAUUCCCCUCCAUGCCAUUUUCUGCUAUUAUCACUGAUGAUAUUACAGCCGCCUGUGGUGCCGAGUUACAUUUAGAGGUCAGAACUGUACUUUCCUGUAUUAAAAACGCAUUUCUCUGUACCGUUUCACUGGUCAGAGGCAGCAUUAGCCAAGUCAGAGGCUCCAUUUAGCUUAUUGAAAAAGCUAGCAGCUUAGAGGAUAGAACAUUAGAUAUUAGGAUAGAAACCAUCAUUUGAGAUGAAAUGUCAACGGGCCAUAUCCAAAACAGAUCAUUUUUCAGUCUUUAUGUGCUAUUAUGUCCAAAAUAAUGAUUUCUGUGUCUCCGAUAAUCUAAUGAAAGAUAAGUGAUGGUGUGGAAGCCGUCUCCUCUGUUUGAAUCGAUGAACUGUCAAGAGUGUAAGGGUGGAAAAGAAAGUAAAUGUUACUGUGCAAUGAUCAAUAAAAGUAGACUUGAAUAUGA
RNA transcript from Dicentrarchus labrax (European seabass), 3133 nucleotides. It is a transcript of the gene named KH domain containing, RNA binding, signal transduction associated 1b, with no coding region annotated. The transcript has 11 exons. NCBI's taxonomy places the organism in Eukaryota, Metazoa, Chordata, Actinopteri, Moronidae. The record is from RefSeq and is a predicted model, not a curated record.